GACGAACGCUGGCGGCGUGCUUAACACAUGCAAGUCGAACGAGAGCGUAGAGAAAGCUUGCUUUUUCUACAAUCUAGUGGCAAACGGGUGAGUAACGCGUAAACAACCUGCCCUACGGAUGGGGACAACAGCUGGAAACGGCUGCUAAUACCGAAUACGUUCCGAAAGUCGCAUGACUAUCGGAAGAAAGGAUGGCCUCUAUUUAUAAGCUAUCGCCGGAGGAGGGGUUUGCGUCUGAUUAGCUAGUUGGAGGGGUAACGGCCCACCAAGGCGACGAUCCGUAGCCGGUCUGAGAGGAUGAACGGCCACAUUGGAACUGGGACACGGUCCAGACUCCUACGGGAGGCAGCAGGGGGGAAUCUUCCGCAAUGGGCGAAAGCCUGACGGAGCAACGCCGCGUGAGUGAAGACGGCCUUCGGGUUGUAAAGCUCUGUUAUACGGGACGAAUAAUCUUGUGGUUAAUACCCAUGAGAAGUGACGGUACCGUAAGAGAAAGCCACGGCUAACUACGUG
This 513-nucleotide ribosomal RNA is filed under the name uncultured bacterium. Its description in RNAcentral is "partial 16S ribosomal RNA". It matches the Rfam family "Bacterial small subunit ribosomal RNA", at positions 28 to 507 of the family's 1533-position model. The record is from RNAcentral.